AUCAUUGGGCGUAAAGCGUCUGUAGGUUGUUUAAUAAGUCUGUUGUUAAAGACUAGGGCUCAACCCUAGAAAAGCAAUGGAAACUACUAGACUUGAGUAUGGCAGGGGUAGAGGGAAUUUCUAGUGUAGCGGUGAAAUGCGUAGAUAUUAGAAAGAACACCAGCGGCGAAAGCGCUCUACUGGGCCAUUACUGACACUCAGAGACGAAAGCUAGGGUAGCAAAAGGGAUUAGAUACCCCUGUAGUCCUAGCCGUAAACGAUGGAUACUAGAUGUUGUGUUUAAUAUGCAGUAUCGUAGCUAACGCGUUAAGUAUCCCGCCUGGGGAGUACGCUCGCAAGGGUGAAACUCAAAGGAAUUGAUGGGGGCCCGCACAAGCGGUGGAGCAUGUGGUUUAAUUCGAUGCAACGCGAAGAACCUUACCAGGACUUGACAUACUACAAAUUUCUUUGAAAAAAGGAAGUGCCUUCGGGAAUGUAGAUACAGGUGGUGCAUGGCUGUCGUCAGCUCGUGUCGUGAGAUGUUGGGUUAAGUCCCGCAACGAGCGCAACCCUUAUUUUUAGUUACUAAUUAAUUAGGUUUUCUAGAAAGACUGCCGGUGACAAACCGGAGGAAGGUGAGGAUGACGUCAAGUCAGCAUGCCCCUUAUGUCCUGGGCUACACACGUGCUACAAUGGUUAAGACAAAGGGUCGCGAGCUCGUGAGAGUCAGCUAAUCCCAUAAUUUAGCCUAAGUUCAGAUUGUAGGCUGCAACUCG
RNAcentral lists this ribosomal RNA (755 nucleotides) under uncultured marine haptophyte. RNAcentral describes it as "bacterial SSU rRNA". It matches the Rfam family "Bacterial small subunit ribosomal RNA", at positions 550 to 1314 of the family's 1533-position model. The record is from RNAcentral. Lineage: Eukaryota; Haptophyta.